Long non-coding RNA from Armigeres subalbatus, 401 nucleotides. RefSeq lists it as uncharacterized. NCBI's taxonomy places the organism in Eukaryota, Metazoa, Arthropoda, Insecta, Diptera, Culicidae. The transcript has 3 exons. The record is from RefSeq and is a predicted model, not a curated record.
GUUUUCUUCGACCAAUGUGUUUUCUUUUGACAAAUUUAAUCCACUUGUGAAAAGCAGCCAUAUUUCAACGAAACUGAAUGAGUUAGCUUGUUCGCAACAUGGUUAGCUGCUGCUGUGGUUCCUGUAGCCUGAACGCUUCUUGCGUAAUAAUGCAUGUUUUGGACGCUUUUUCUGCCGCCUUGGCUGCCAAUAGGACUUUCGAACGUAGUCCAAAAACCAUAUGAAUUGCUGGUUUCUUCUACCGUAAACAUCCGGUGCAGCAGUUGAUGUAAUUACAAUGGUUCAGAGCGCCGAAUAACAGAACCAAUUUCGAAGACAGACGCUACUUCCAUGGACCGGUGUGACACUUACGUUUUUCGUAAGUUCUAUUUAUUAUAAAUGUAAGACAAUAUUUUUGCAUU